CCCUUCUGACCCAAGGACAACCAUCACAGCCCUUCUGACCCAAGGACAACCAUCACAGCCACGGUAUCCUCCCACUGUGUCCCUGUGAACCAUCUCUAGGACACACAGAGUACAGUCAGCUGUCAGACACAGCAGGAGCAGGAUAUCACCAGGAUAUUAUACAAUUGAAGGCUGCAGAACAUGGCCAAUUAUUUUUCAUUUGCCAUCGUUGCCAUGGUUCCUGUGAAAUAAAGAGCAACCCUGUUAGAGAACUGAGCCCAGCAUCCAAAGAACAAACCCAAGAUAGCAUGUAGCUCUGUGAAAUAUAAACAGCUCAGACAUGAGCUUUUAGUUAUGCCAUCACGACAUGCGGGAUAAUAAUAAUAAUAUUAAAAACAUUUAAAUGUUUGAAUUAAAUUAACAUAUAUAAAAAUAUAUCUGACUGCUAUUAUAUUGAGCAGAUUCUGAAGACACAGUAGUAAAACACUAUUUUUCUGACAUCACACCAGACUGGGGGAAAAAAAUGAUGACCUAGAUAGAAACUACCACUGCAACGAUUGGCACAAAUUGAGCACAAAGGAAGUGCAUGUUGUGCUUAUUCAUAGCAUGUAGGCUGCUUGUCUCAAGCUCAAUUGUAAGAUCUUCAUUAAAUCUAUAUCACACCCCAUAUGUUCAUUUUUAAAAUGGAGUGGGGUACAUACAGUCUGUUACCCCUUGCCUGGUAUUCAGCACCGUGGUUCAUUCACACUGUGCGCACUGUGCUUGCAAGGUCAAACAAAUGUAGAUUAAUCAAACAGGGCAUUCAGUGUCUCUGCUCUGUGUGGAUGGAAACUUAGCAACUGACUAUUAUAUACUGUAUAUACUCACUAUAUCUAUAUGUACCUUCAUUUAUACACACCCCCAUUUGUCAAUCUGCAUCUUUCUGUAUCUAUACAUUGUGCUAAUAAAAUGUGAGUGUGGCUGUCUUCAGAAAAUUCUGGAGUGUGCACAGCAGAGGUCACUGUGGUACGAACACACACAUAACGCGCGCACACACACACUGUAGGAACUGCAUGGGCCUGUUAGACUGCCCAUAGAAAACUGGCUGUAAAACUACAGUUUUUAAAGAGAUGCCCAUAAAUUCUGACAUUAUGACAAUGCAAACAUCUCUCGUUUUCUCUGUUCCUCUCUUUCCCUUUCAAUGUAAUGAAUAGAAGUGAAAAAUAUUUUAAUUAAAAAAACUAAUUGAAUAUUUACUUUCAUCGAUGUAUAUUCAACAAAAAAUAUAAAUAAGUAAAUAAAUAAAUAUUCAUAAUCUGGUAAAAUGGACAGCAGAAAAGGAUGUCAACAUGGUGUUUUUAUUGUGACUUUAAUUUAGCAAUUCCAAGUAGUUUCCACAAUGGGAUAAUGACAUUCAUUAGGCAUUUUGCAUGAAAAAUAAUGUAAAACUCAUAACUCGCA
This is a long non-coding RNA of Anguilla anguilla (European eel), 1419 nucleotides long. RefSeq lists it as uncharacterized. The record is from RefSeq and is a predicted model, not a curated record. The transcript is spliced from 4 exons. Lineage: Eukaryota; Metazoa; Chordata; Actinopteri; Anguilliformes; Anguillidae.